This 301-nucleotide ribosomal RNA is filed under the name uncultured bacterium. RNAcentral's name for it is "partial 16S ribosomal RNA". It matches the Rfam family "Bacterial small subunit ribosomal RNA", at positions 509 to 807 of the family's 1533-position model. The record is from RNAcentral.
CAGUCGCCGCGGUAAUACGAAGGGUGCAAGCGUUAAUCGGAAUUACUGGGCGUAAAGCGUGCGUAGGCGGUGAGUUAAGUCUGCUGUGAAAUCCCCGGGCUCAACCUGGGAAUGGCAGUGGAUACUGGCUCGCUAGAGUGUGUCAGAGGAUGGUGGAAUUCCCGGUGUAGCGGUGAAAUGCGUAGAGAUCGGGAGGAACAUCAGUGGCGAAGGCGGCCAUCUGGGACAACACUGACGCUCAUGCACGAAAGCGUGGGGAGCAAACAGGAUUAGAUACCCCUGUAGUCCCUGUCUCUUAUAC